Long non-coding RNA from Puntigrus tetrazona (Sumatra barb), 199 nucleotides. RefSeq lists it as uncharacterized. The record is from RefSeq and is a predicted model, not a curated record. The transcript is spliced from 2 exons. NCBI's taxonomy places the organism in Eukaryota, Metazoa, Chordata, Actinopteri, Cypriniformes, Cyprinidae.
GCCAGCAGCGGGACUGAGGUCUUGAGGAGCUGCCCUAAGAAAACCAUUCUCCUUUCUUCUUCCUCACCCUCAUCUUCUUCAUUCUCUUCAUCGUUUCUUCCACACACACAGCAUAAUGUUAACCAGUCAGAGAUAAACAAGUGUAAUGGUGCUGGUGAUGAAGAGAAUGAGAUCCAGGACCCUUCAAUCUAUUACAGGG